GACGAACGCUGGCGGCGUGCCUAAUACAUGCAAGUUGAGCGCUGAAGGUUGGUACUUGUACCAACUGGAUGAGCAGCGAACGGGUGAGUAACGCGUGGGGAAUCUGCCUUUGAGCGGGGGACAACAUUUGGAAACGAAUGCUAAUACCGCAUAAAAACUUUAAACACAAGUUUUAAGUUUGAAAGAUGCAAUUGCAUCACUCAAAGAUGAUCCCGCGUUGUAUUAGCUAGUUGGUGAGGUAAAGGCUCACCAAGGCGAUGAUACAUAGCCGACCUGAGAGGGUGAUCGGCCACAUUGGGAAUGAGACACGGCCCAAACUCCUACGGGAGGCAGCAGGAGGGAAUCUUCGGCAAUGGACGAAAGUCUGACCGAGCAACGCCGCGUGAGUGAAGAAGGGUUUCGGAUCGUAAAACUCUGUUGGUAGAGAAGAACGUUGGUGAGAGUGGAAAGCUCAUCAAGUGACGAUAACUACACAGAAAGGGACGGCUAACUACGUG
RNAcentral lists this ribosomal RNA (497 nucleotides) under uncultured bacterium. RNAcentral describes it as "partial 16S ribosomal RNA". It matches the Rfam family "Bacterial small subunit ribosomal RNA", at positions 28 to 507 of the family's 1533-position model. The record is from RNAcentral.